GGGGCUGGUGCGCAUGCGCGCCGCGGCAGCCGCGGGACGGGUGCGGGUUCGAUGUCGGCGUCCCCGCGGGGUCCGGAUCACGACGAGCAGCUGCUCCGGGACUGGGAGAGCCAGCAAGUAGAACUAAAGAAGCAUGUGAUUGACUACAACACCGAGGAUUGGCAGAGCAACGAAGGCUUUGAAGGGUUAGAGCGUGUCGGAGGAGUGGAUCUAUCUUUCAUCAAGGAAGAUGAAGUUAAUGCUUGUGCUUCGCUAGUGGUUCUCAGUUAUCCUGAUCUCAAGGUAGUCUAUGAAGAGUGCCAAAUGGUUUGUCUGACUGCCCCUUAUAUCCCUGGCUUUUUGGCUUUUCGGGAGACACCUUUCUUGGAAGAAGCUGUGAAAAGACUGCAGCACAAAGAUCCGAGCCUUCUCCCUCAGGUCAUUUUUGCAGAUGGAAAUGGAAUAUUACAUCACAGAGAAUUUGGUGUUGCCUGUCAUUUGGGUGUCCUGGUAGACUUGCCCUGUAUUGGAGUUGCUAAAAACCUCCUGCAUGUGGACGGCUUGGAAGCAAAGGACCUGCUGAAAGAAAAGAUCAAAGACCUUCAUGAAAGAGGAAACACUUUUACACUAACUGGAAGGUCUGGGAAGGUUUUGGGUAUGGCUCUUAAAAGCUGUGAGAAAAGCACAAAACCAAUUUAUGUGUCUGUGGGCCACAGGAUUAAUCUGGACACUGCCACACGCCUGACUCAUUCCUGCUGUAAAUACAGAGUACCAGAACCAAUUCGACAGGCUGACAUAAGGUCCAGAGAAUAUAUCCGUAAAAAUGUUAACGCAUCCUGACAGUCGGAUACACGGUGGUCAGACGUUAAUCUUGCACGGCAACCACCAAAUGAAGGAACCCUAUAGAACCCAUUAAAAAAAUGCUGUCUCACACCCAAUGUGCAGGAAAAAAAACAAAUCAAAGAAACAAUAAAAACUCAAACCAGAAAUCUGUUUCAAUCCAUCGCUGUUAUGUUUGAGCAAUAAAUAGGAAUAGUGAGAGCUCUGUUCACAGCUUUCCAGUAUCAUCCCUUAUGAUUACAGAGGUAUUGCUUUGUGGAAAACUGCUGAACUGACAAAACAACAGAACACACGAUUCUUCCGAGAGCAAUAUAUCCGAAUGUAAUAAAAGAUGUAAGCCUCCAAUUUGGCACUCUUCUGUUGUUUACACACUCUGACCAACUCGCUAACUGAGAGCAGUCCUGCGAUGGAUGCAGUGAAUCUUUCAAACUUACCAGUGGAAAUGAUUUAAGGAGGGGGGCCUAUAAAUACUGUAGUGGGCAAGAGAAGUUAUCACACUUGGUGAAAUGGGGUUUGAGUGCCUCUUUUGAAGCAAGAAAUAAACACUGUGUUCCAACUUGCUCCUUCUUCUGCACGAAGGUGUAACAGUGAGCCAGUUUGCUCAUAUUGAUAUCGGCCACUUGUAAGCUGAGACCAGACCACCUCACUGAAUAUUUCCUCGUUGCGUAAAGCCACAUUGAACCAAGAGGUGGCAGGCUGCACACAUCCAGUAGAAUGAGUGGGAUUCUAAUGAAUACAGCUGAUGGUGUUCAGGCAGUUCACUGAAGAUUAUUGAAUGCCCUGAACAUGGGUAGGCAUUUCCAGGAGCUCAGUGUCACCUGGAUGACACCAUUGUUACCGGUAAGGAUGAUAAGGAACAACUCCAAAAUCUCAAGACAGUGUUAAAAAGAUUAGAAGAUUAUGGGCUCAGAGUAUGAUGCGGCAUGUGUGAAUUCUUUAAACCAAGUAUCACUUACUGUGGUCACACCACUGAUGCACAAGGAUUACAUAAGUAAGUUGAAAAAAUUCAAGCAGUGGUGAACAUCUCAAAAUCAAAGGACGUGUCACAGUUGUGUUUUUUUUAGGAUUUGUCAAUUACUUUAACAGGUUCUUGUCAAGCCUGGCUACUGUGCUCAACCCCUUGAACUCGUUACUAUGGAUUGGGAAGAAAUGGCAAUGGACAAAGCAGUGUGGGGUGGCUUUCAAAAAGGUAAAGGAAAUGGUGAUAUUAGAGGCAAUACUCAAACAUUAUGAUCCACAUCAUCCAGUGAAGCUUACCUGUGACACCUCGCCUUAUGGCAUUGGUGAUGGAAGAGAAUGCCCCAUAGACUUUGCAUUUUGUUGCCUUACCACUGCAGAAAAAGUAUCGUGCACAGAUUGACAGAGAGGCCUUGAGUCUGGUUAGGGAUGUAAAACGUUUCAACCAGUAUUUGUAUGGGAGAGAUGAUCAGUAGUUUACUGAUUGUCAACUACUGGAGUUCAUUUUCAAUCCACAGAAGGGUGUUCCACUAGCAGUAGUAGCACAAAUGCAGUGAUGGGCUCUGUUUCUUGGUGGACACGAUUACAAGAUCAAAUUUAGGAAGACGGCUAAUUAUGGAAAUGCUGUUGGAUUGUCCUGUUUACCCUUGAAAAGGAAAUAUCUCAAAAACUUGCAAAAGAGGACACUCCUCUCGAUGCCUUCUUCCUAAUGCAAACAGAAAGUCGCCCUAUUACAGCGGGAAUGAUCCAAAGGAAAACCAGAAAAGAACUCAUGUUGUCUCAGGUCUAAAUGGCAACCCAAAGUGGCUGGAAUGUGCAAUAGAAAUCCCAUUUCCUCCAUUUUUAUCUGCGCUGGCAUGAACUUGCCCUUGAUGGAGGUUGCCUUAUGUGAGGCUUGAGAGUUGUUGUACCAUCCAAGCAGAGAGCUAAAGUGUUGGAUGAGCUAUAUACCAGUCAUUGAGACAUGGUCAAGAUGAAAGCAUUGGGUUGAAGCUUCAUCUGGUGGCCUGGGAUAGAUUGUGCAGCUUGCCAUGUAUUGUCUGGGGUGCCAAUACUGCCUGCUGAUGCCAAGAGCAGUGCCUUGCCGUCCCUGGGAAAGGCCUGCAUUGCCCUGGCGGUGGAUUCUUGUGGAUUUUGUUGGACCAUUUAUGGGCACAAAUUUCCAGGUUGAAGUGGAUGCAGCUACAAAGUGGACAGUAGUAUUCCCAGAACGCUCAGUCAAUAAUAAUGGACCGUAGAUUGCUGCAGAAUAGUUUCAGUCAUUCCUGAAAAUGAAUGGAGUAAGACACUUUACUUCUGCACUGUACCACUGGCUUAGUGGCAAGAUUUGUCCCAAGUCUAAAGAACACACUGUGAACAAUGUCAGUGGAACACACUAAACUAACACUGGAUCAGUAGCUCACCAAUUUCCUCCUUGCAUAUUGUAAUGCAACAACUCACCGGCUAUACUGUUCCUGGGUUGUCCCUUGCAGUCACGCUUCGAUCUCGUCAAAUCCAAUCUCGGAAGGAGGAUGCAGGACAAAUAGCUGAGACAAAUUGAGGGCUCCUCAGUCAGUGAGAAUCAGUGUUUCGCCCCGGGACAAGCAGUGCUGGUGAGGAACUACAGAGGUGAUCAAAAGUAAGUACUCCGAAGGAUUAAGGAUAGGACUGGGCUGCUUUCCUACACCGUGGAUUUGCGUCUGAUAUCAUUUGGAGACAACAUAUCGAUUGGCUGAGGAGAGCAGACGCAAUUGUUAGAGAAGAAAGUUGGCUACCGCUAUCAGAACCACUUCCUGCUGUCUCAGAUUCAACUCUUACAACCAUCACGGAGGAGGCUCCAGAACCUGUGAAUGUUUUCACAGCCACAAGUCUCACCUGCCAAGCAGUGUCUCGCUAAUUAAAUCUUCAGGCCUGAUUGGGAUCAUUUAAAAUUGACUGUGCUGUGGAUGUCUAUACAGUAUAGUAGUUGAAUUAUAGAGUGUACUGUAAGUGUAUAAGUUGAGAUGUUUUCUAUAUUAAGUUGGAGUUUAAACUAAGCAGGGAGGAAUGUUGUGUAUUUAAUAUUUGAGUAAUAUUGUAAAUAUAUUUGAUUGAGAAUUCUUUGUUGUUUACUUAAUUUAUUAUGGGUCAUAUGUAAAAGUAUGUGAAUGUCAUUACGCCACUGCGUCAUAUGUGCGUGCCUCGCCUAAAGUAAAAACGAAACUAAGACACAUUUUCCUAUGCUUAUCUUUCAAUUAGUUUUACGCUUUGCAUAGAAAGGAGGAGCAUAACUGAGCAACUGUAUAUCAUUCAGUUUCUGUACUGAAUUUGUCAUGCCUUUAGACGGAAACAGUUUGAUGGACAGUUUUCAGUUAUGGACACUGCACCUUUAAAGUUCCAAGUUCAGAGUAAAUUUAUUAUCAAAGUACAUAUAUUUCACCAAAUACAACCUCAUUUUCUUGUUGGCAUUCACAGUAAGUCCAAGAAACACAGUAGAAUCAAUGAAAACUGUACCCAACAGGA
This is an RNA transcript of Mobula hypostoma (lesser devil ray), 4257 nucleotides long. It is a transcript of the gene named endonuclease V-like, with no coding region annotated. The record is from RefSeq and is a predicted model, not a curated record. The transcript has 10 exons. Lineage: Eukaryota; Metazoa; Chordata; Chondrichthyes; Myliobatiformes; Myliobatidae.